AACGAACGCUGGCGGCAUGCCUAACACAUGCAAGUCGAACGAGACCGUCGGGUCUAGUGGCGCACGUGUGCGUACCGACGGGGAACCUACCCUUAGGUUCGGUAUCACUCCCCGAAAGGGGUGCUAAUACCGGAUAAUGUCUUCGGGCCAAAGAUUUAUCGCCUUGGGAUGGGCGCGCGUCGGAUUAGCUGGUUGGUAGGGUAAAAGCCGGCCAACGCGACGAUGCAUAGCUGGUCGGUUAGGAAGGUCAGCCACGCUGGGGCUGCGACCCGGCCCAGAACCGUACGGAGGGGAGCAGUGUAGUACAUUGUACGCGGGGCGAAGGCGUGAUCCAGCAACGCGGGGUGAGAGAUGCAGGGGGUUGUGUUGUAAAGCCCUUUUAGCCGGGACGAUAAUGACAGUACCGGGUGAAUAAGCACCGGCUAACUCCGUG
RNAcentral lists this ribosomal RNA (433 nucleotides) under uncultured bacterium. RNAcentral's name for it is "partial 16S ribosomal RNA". It matches the Rfam family "Bacterial small subunit ribosomal RNA", at positions 29 to 507 of the family's 1533-position model. The record is from RNAcentral.